RNAcentral lists this ribosomal RNA (2896 nucleotides) under Clostridioides difficile. RNAcentral describes it as "23S ribosomal RNA". It matches the Rfam family "Bacterial large subunit ribosomal RNA". The record is from RNAcentral. Lineage: Bacteria; Bacillati; Bacillota; Clostridia; Peptostreptococcales; Peptostreptococcaceae.
UCAAGUUAUUAAGGGUGCAGGGCGGAUGCCUUGGCACUAGGAGCCGAUGAAGGACGUGAUAAGCUGCGAUAAGCUUCGGGGAGUUGCACGUAAACUUUGAUCCGAAGAUUUCCGAAUGAGGAAACUCACUUAGAGUAAUGUCUAAGUAUCAUUAAGUGAAUACAUAGCUUAAUGAGGGGAACUCAGGGAACUGAAACAUCUAAGUACCUGAAGGAAGAGAAAGAAAUUCGAUUCCGUAAGUAGCGGCGAGCGAACGCGGAUUAGCCCAAACCAAUAAAGUUUUCUUUAUUGGGGUUGCGGACAUAUCAUAACGAAGAGGUAUCGUAAUUGAAGAGGUUUGGAAAGACCCACCACAGAAGGUAAUAGUCCUGUAUGUUAAACGAGAAGACUUCAGAUAUGAUCCAGAGUACCACGGGACACGUGAAACCCUGUGGGAAGCAGGAGGGACCACCCUCCAAGGCUAAAUACUACCUAGUGACCGAUAGCGUAUAGUACCGUGAGGGAAAGGUGAAAAGAACCCCGGGAGGGGAGUGAAAUAGAACCUGAAACCCUGCACUUACAAGCUGUGGAAGCACAUUUCUUGUGUGACCGCGUACUUUUUGUAGAACGGGCCAACGAGUUACGUUAAGUAGCAAGGUUAAGCACUUAAGGUGUGGAGCCGUAGCGAAAGCGAGUUUUAACUGAGCGUUCAGUUACUUGACGUAGACCCGAAACCGGGCGACCUACCCAUGAGCAGGAUGAAGCGAAAGUAAAAUUUCGUGGAGGUCCGAACCCACGAGCGUUGAAAAGCUCGGGGAUGACUUGUGGGUAGCGGUGAAAUUCCAAUCGAGCCCGGAGAUAGCUGGUUCUCCCCGAAAUAGCUUUAGGGCUAGCCUCAAGGUGAGAGAUACGGAGGUAGAGCACUGAAUGUCCUAGGGGGUAUUGCACCUACCGAAGACUAUCAAACUCCGAAUGCCGUCAUCUUAUACUUGGGAGUCAGACUGUGGGUGAUAAGAUUCAUAGUCGAAAGGGCAACAGCCCAGAUCGUCAGCUAAGGUCCCUAAAUGUAAGUUAAGUGGUAAAGGAUGUGGGAUUGCACAGACAACCAGGAUGUUGGCUUAGAAGCAGCCACUCAUUCAAAGAGUGCGUAAUAGCUCACUGGUCGAGUGAUCCUGCGCCGAAGAUUUCCGGGGCUAAAACUUACUACCGAAGCUACGGCAUCAGUAAUGAUGGGUAGGGGAGCUUCCCAUACGGGUUGAAGCAUGACCGUAAGGACAUGUGGACAGUAUGGGAGUGAGAAUGUUGGCAUGAGUAGCGAGAUGUGGGUGAGAAUCCCACAGGCCGUAAACCCAAGGUUUCCAGGGGAAGGUUCGUCCGCCCUGGGUUAGUCGGGACCUAAGCUGAGGCCGAAAGGCGUAGGUGAUGGACAACAGGUUGAUAUUCCUGUACUACCGAUAACCGUUUGAGAGAAGGGAUGACACAGUAGGAUAAGCUAAGCACACUGUUGGUUAUGUGUGCCCAAGCAUUGAGGCAGUCAAAGUAGGCAAAUCCGCUUUGAUAAUGCUGGGAUGUGAUGGGGAGCGAAAUUUAGUAGCGAAGUAGCUGAUUUCACACUGUCAAGAAAAGUCUCUAUCGAGGUUAAAGGUACCCGUACCGCAAACCGACACAGGUGGGUGAGGAGAGUAUCCUAAGGCCAGCGAGAGAACUGUUGUUAAGGAACUCGGCAAAAUGACCCCGUAACUUAGGGAUAAGGGGUGCCACCAUCAGGUGGCCGCAGAGAAUAGGCCCAAGCGACUGUUUACCAAAAACAUAGGUUUCUGCUAAGUCGCAAGACGAUGUAUAGGAGCUGACGCCUGCCCGGUGCUGGAAGGUUAAGGGGAUCUGUUAGAGCAAUCGAAGCAGUGAACUUAAGCCCCAGUAAACGGCGGCCGUAACUAUAACGGUCCUAAGGUAGCGAAAUUCCUUGUCGGGUAAGUUCCGACCCGCACGAAAGGCGUAACGAUUUGGGCACUGUCUCAACAACAGACUCGGUGAAAUUGUAAUUCCGGUGAAGAUGCCGGAUACCUGCGACAGGACGGAAAGACCCCAUGGAGCUUUACUGUAGCUUGACAUUGGGUCUUGGUACUACAUGUACAGGAUAGGUGGGAGGCUUUGAAACCAGGACGCCAGUUUUGGCGGAGCCAUCCUUGGGAUACCACCCUUUUAGUACUGGGACUCUAACCAUAGGCCAUGAAUCUGGUCUUGGGACACUGUCAGGUGGGCAGUUUGACUGGGGCGGUCGCCUCCCAAAAGGUAACGGAGGCGCUCAAAGGUUCUCUCAGUACGGUCGGAAAUCGUACGUAGAGUGUAAAGGCAAAAGAGAGCUUGAUUGCAAGACAUACAGGUCGAGCAAGGAUGAAAAUCGGACUUAGUGAUCCGGUGGUUCUGCGUGGAAGGGCCAUCGCUCAACGGAUAAAAGCUACCCUGGGGAUAACAGGCUUAUCUCCCCCAAGAGUCCACAUCGACGGGGAGGUUUGGCACCUCGAUGUCGGCUCAUCACAUCCUGGGGCUGUAGUAGGUCCCAAGGGUUGGGCUGUUCGCCCAUUAAAGUGGUACGCGAGCUGGGUUCAGAACGUCGUGAGACAGUUCGGUCCCUAUCCGUCGCAGGCGUAGGAAAUUUGAGAAGACCUGUCCUUAGUACGAGAGGACCGGGAUGGACGUACCUCUGGUGUACCAGUUGUUCUGCCAAGGGCAUGGCUGGGUAGCUAUGUACGGAAUGGAUAAGCGCUGAAAGCAUCUAAGCGCGAAGCCAACUUCAAGAUAAGAUUUCCCACCGCAAGGGUAAGACCCCAGAAAGACUAUCUGGUUGAUAGGUCGAAGGUGUAAGUGCAGCAAUGUAUUUAGCUUAUCGAUACUAAUAGGUCGAGGACUUGACCAA